GACAUGUUGAGGGUCACCGCAUUGCCUCUGUGACAAAGCAAACUCAUCCUUCACCACAGAAGCACAUGAGUAUCUUCUUUGGUGGAAAACAGAAAGGACCCAAAACAGCAGGACCACUGAGGGGAACUGUUCAGCCCUUCAGGUGACUCUCCAGAGAAACUUCCGGAGAUGGAAGGUGGUGGUGAAAGCACAUCAUUCCUCAUUUCUAGA
This 210-nucleotide long non-coding RNA is filed under the name Chinchilla lanigera (long-tailed chinchilla). Its description in RNAcentral is "lncRNA (ENSCLAG00000022353.1)". The record is from RNAcentral. Lineage: Eukaryota; Metazoa; Chordata; Mammalia; Rodentia; Chinchillidae.